Molecule: transfer RNA, 84 nt
Filed under: Bacillus sonorensis
Lineage: Bacteria; Bacillati; Bacillota; Bacilli; Caryophanales; Bacillaceae
Also listed under: 1 other name
Description: tRNA-Ser
Rfam family: tRNA
About the family: Transfer RNA (tRNA) molecules are approximately 80 nucleotides in length. Their secondary structure includes four short double-helical elements and three loops (D, anti-codon, and T loops). Further hydrogen bonds mediate the characteristic L-shaped molecular structure. tRNAs have two regions of fundamental functional importance: the anti-codon, which is responsible for specific mRNA codon recognition, and the 3' end, to which the tRNAs corresponding amino acid is attached (by aminoacyl-tRNA synthetases). tRNAs cope with the degeneracy of the genetic code in two manners: having more than one tRNA (with a specific anti-codon) for a particular amino acid; and 'wobble' base-pairing, i.e. permitting non-standard base-pairing at the 3rd anti-codon position.
Source: RNAcentral
GGAGGGUUGGCAGAGCGGUAAUGCACUGGUCUUGAAAUCUGGUGAGUCCGAAAGGAUACGUGGGUUCAAUUCCCACCCCCUCCU